RNAcentral lists this ribosomal RNA (253 nucleotides) under uncultured bacterium. RNAcentral's name for it is "partial 16S ribosomal RNA". It matches the Rfam family "Bacterial small subunit ribosomal RNA", at positions 524 to 776 of the family's 1533-position model. The record is from RNAcentral.
CACGUAGGGCGCAAGCGUUGUCCGGAAUUAUUGGGCGUAAAGAGCUCGUAGGCGGUCUGUUGCGUCCGCUGUGAAAACUCGGGGCUUAACCCCGAGCCUGCAGUGGAUACGGGCAGACUAGAGGUAGGUAGGGGAGAAUGGAAUUCCCGGUGUAGCGGUGAAAUGCGCAGAUAUCGGGAGGAACACCAAUAGCGAAGGCAGCUCGCUGGGACGGUACUGACGCUAAGGCGCGAAAGCGUGGGGAGCGAACAGG